GUAGUCCUACGGGGGGCAGCAGUGAGGGAUAUUGGUCAAUGGGGGGAACCCUGAACCAGCAACGCCGCGUGAGGGAAGACGGUUUUCGGAUUGUAAACCUCUAUCCUCUGUGAAGAUAAUGACGGUAGCAGAGGAGGAAGCUCCGGCUAACUACGUGCCAGCAGCCACGGUAAUACGUAGGUGGCGAGCGUUAUCCGGAAUGAUUGGGCGUAAAGGGUGCGCAGGCGGUCCUGCAAGUCUGGAGUGAAACGCAUGAGCUCAACUCAUGCAUGGCUUUGGAAACUGGAGGACUGGAGAGCAGGAGG
Molecule: ribosomal RNA, 305 nt
Filed under: uncultured bacterium
Lineage: Bacteria
Description: bacterial SSU rRNA
Rfam family: Bacterial small subunit ribosomal RNA
Source: RNAcentral